AGAAUUUUCAAAACUUUAUUGUAAUCAAUGAAGCAAAAGUUCUGUCACUUGUAAAUUACACUAGCCAAUGUUAACUGUUGAGUAACAUGCACAAACUAUUCGAGUUUGUCGGUUAACCGAGUCAAAUCCGAGUCCGAGUCAAAUCCGAGCCCGAGUCAAAUGUCCGAGUCAUAGUUUAAUCGAUGGUCUUUGCAGUUCAACGACUUAGUACCUAAUCCUAACCAUAAUCCCACUCCUAACUUACCCUAACCCUAUUCAACUGUGAAUUUUAUUCAAUUUCGGAGUUUGUCGGUUACUGACUGACUCAAAUUCGAGUUCGAGUCAAAUGUCCGAGUCACUGUUUAACUGUCUUUGUCGAUAAAAUGACUUAGUACCCUAACCCUAAAGCUACUCCUAACCCUAUUCGACUGUGAAUUUUCUUCACUUUCGUCUUUUUUUUACGCGACUCGGGCGUUUGACUCGGGCUCGGGACUGACUCAGA
Non-coding RNA from Paramuricea clavata, 481 nucleotides. Lineage: Eukaryota; Metazoa; Cnidaria; Anthozoa; Malacalcyonacea; Plexauridae. The record is from the annotation of a GenBank genome assembly.